CACUCACACACACACUCACGCACACACACUCACUCACACGACACGAUUGGCUCCGAUAUAAAGCUGAGUGAACUGGGUGAGGGAUCGAUCAGAUUGACUCGCAGUGAUCUGGAAUGGAAGAGCUGAUCAAUACUCAGUCAGACGCUGUUGGUAGACUGGCAUUCAAAUACAUGGAGAUGUGUAAAGUAGACUCCAGCUCAGACUCUGAAUCAGAGUCCAACCCCAGAUGGUCUGAUGUCAGCAGCAAGGGCUGUGAAAGCAGCACUCCAGAAGCUCCUCAGAAACUCCAGCAAAACUACCAGCAG
Molecule: long non-coding RNA, 305 nt
Organism: Sinocyclocheilus anshuiensis
Lineage: Eukaryota; Metazoa; Chordata; Actinopteri; Cypriniformes; Cyprinidae
Exons: 3
Source: RefSeq, a predicted model, not a curated record